Molecule: long non-coding RNA, 213 nt
Filed under: Elaeis guineensis (African oil palm)
Lineage: Eukaryota; Viridiplantae; Streptophyta; Magnoliopsida; Arecales; Arecaceae
Description: long non-coding RNA (EGUI_LNC046939)
Source: RNAcentral
UGGUGUCUUGAUUACUAGAAAACAGCAACUUAUUAAACAAUAAGGAGAAUUAUUUUGAUGGAUGUCUCUGAUCCUCUAAACUGAGAAAUGUAUUGCCAUGUUUGUGGUAAUGAGAUUUUCUUUUUAAUUAACUAUACUCUUUGGUUGGCACACUGAUCAUUUUUCAGAGAAGAGCCACUAAAUGGUCUAUUGUUUAGAGAGCCAACCAUAUUG